This is a non-coding RNA of Armillaria fumosa, 79 nucleotides long. The record is from the annotation of a GenBank genome assembly. Lineage: Eukaryota; Fungi; Basidiomycota; Agaricomycetes; Agaricales; Physalacriaceae.
UCGGAUAUGGUGUAACGGCUAACAUUGCCGCCUCUCAUUUGUUUCGCGGCAGCUCGGGGUUCGAUUCCCCGUAUCCGAA